ACUGCCUCUCUCUCUAAGGUGAAGGGAAUGUAAAUUAUAAUUCCUGGAUACAAAAUCAAACAGAAUUACUUAUCUCUUGAAAUCCCCACUGAUGUGGCCACUGCAGUUAAGCAACCAACCUGCUGCCUUAUUAUUCCAGUGACAUACUGCUGCAGGAGAAACUCCCAGGCACGGCAAUAAAACAGCAAAAAUGCAGGAGAUGGCUCAAGAUUUCCCUCCUCUCCCUCUCCCAGGGCUGGGACAAGGCACUGGAGGAUUCAGUGGAUCAUAAACUGCAAACAUGAAAUACAGCAGGGGAGCUGCAGCCUGGAAACACAAACCAACCCUCCCUGGGAGAGCUCAGUCUCAUUUUCAAUGCCACAUGCAAAAAAAAUAAACCAAAACACCCAAAAAACCAAAACAACUCCAAAUGCUUGGAGAGAUGAGGGAGGGAGCACCAGGGUAAUUCCCAACCUUUCUUAUGGAUGCAGAACUCUACCCAUACAAAUGAGACUCUGCACCAAAACUUCUUGGAUUGUUGCAGCAGAGCUUGAGGCACAAAAAUACCCAUCAGAGGGACAGAGAGACUAAAUUUAUCCCCCAGGACAGCCUGGCCAUGUAAACCCAGCUCAGGAAAUCACACAGCAUCCACAAAUUCCCUCGCAGAGAAUCAGAACCAGGGAAGGAGACAGCCUCAAGUACUGAUGUUGUGUAACAACAAAUGUUUCUAUGGAGACUUCCCAGCCCUCUCAGAGGAAGGCAGAAAUGCUGCUUCUUUCCUGCUCUGAGCAAAUUGUGGAUGGAGUCUGGAGGGGCUGGCUCCUCUCCUGUCAGCCCAGAGAUGGAGCAGCCAUGGGGACACAUUGGAGUUUCUGAGGGGGAAAACCUGGUGUGAACACCCUGCACCACUCCCAAAAUCAGUCAUGGCAAUCACAGCAGGCUCUGUCAGAGGAGUCUGGGGCCCUGGCAGGGAGAAUAUUCAAUUCUGGGUGUAAUUCCCUCUCACCAUACCACAAAUACAGCCCAAAAUGAGUGUCAGCUCCUUCUGCACAUCCUUCCUUUAUUAGGAGCAAAACUCUUCAAUUUGAUGGAUCAGUGGUGGUGGGUGGGUGAAAAACUCCUAAAUGACUGAAAGUUCUUAUUCACAGCCCCCCAAACAAAGCAGAUGAGCAAUGAGAGCUCAGUUAUUACAAAUCAAAUGUGUUUGCAGCAGAUUUUCCUCUGUACAGAGUGGCCACCUUGCACUCACACAAACCAUGAUGUGGCUCCUCACUCCCUCUAACCCUCUGAUUGAGGAA
Molecule: long non-coding RNA, 1277 nt
Organism: Catharus ustulatus (Swainson's thrush)
Lineage: Eukaryota; Metazoa; Chordata; Aves; Passeriformes; Turdidae
Exons: 3
Source: RefSeq, a predicted model, not a curated record